RNAcentral lists this ribosomal RNA (449 nucleotides) under uncultured bacterium. RNAcentral's name for it is "partial 16S ribosomal RNA". It matches the Rfam family "Bacterial small subunit ribosomal RNA", at positions 29 to 523 of the family's 1533-position model. The record is from RNAcentral.
AACGAACGCUGGCGGCAUGCCUAACACAUGCAAGUCGAACGAAGGCUUCGGCCUUAGUGGCGCACGAGUGAGUAUCGCGUGGGAACCUGCCCUUUGGUACGGAAUAACUGCGGGAAACUGCAGCUAAUACCGUAUACGUCCUCCGGGAGAAAGAGUUAUCGCCGAAGGAGGGGCCUGCGUCCGAUUAGGCAGUUGGUGAGGUAACGGCUCACCAAGCCGACGAUCGGUAGCUGGUCUGAGAGGAUGAGCAGCCACACUGGGACUGAGACACGGCCCAGGCUCCUACGGGAGGCAGCAGUGGGGAAUAUUGGACAAUGGGCGAAAGCCUGAUCCAGCAAUGCCGCGUGAGUGAUGAAGGCCUUAGGGUUGUAAAGCUCUUUCACCCACGACGAUGAUGACGGUAGUGGGAGAAGAAGCCCCGGCUAACUUCGUGCCAGCAGCCGCAGUAA